RNAcentral lists this ribosomal RNA (429 nucleotides) under bacterium. Its description in RNAcentral is "partial 16S ribosomal RNA". It matches the Rfam family "Bacterial small subunit ribosomal RNA", at positions 355 to 776 of the family's 1533-position model. The record is from RNAcentral.
UAGGGAAUCUUCGGCAAUGGGGGCAACCCUGACCGAGCAACGCCGCGUGAGUGAAGAAGGUUUUCGGAUCGUAAAGCUCUGUUGUAAGAGAAGAACGUGUGUGAGAGUGGAAAGUUCACACAGUGACGGUAACUUACCAGAAAGGGACGGCUAACUACGUGCCAGCAGCCGCGGUAAUACGUAGGUCCCGAGCGUUGUCCGGAUUUAUUGGGCGUAAAGUGAGCGCAGGCGGUUUAAUAAGUCUGAAGUUAAAGGCAGUGGCUUAACCAUUGUUCGCUUUGGAAACUGUUAAACUUGAGUGCAGAAGGGGAGAGUGGAAUUCCAUGUGUAGCGGUGAAAUGCGUAGAUAUAUGGAGGAACACCGGUGGCGAAAGCGGCUCUCUGGUCUGUAACUGACGCUGAGGCUCGAAAGCGUGGGGAGCAAACAGG